RNAcentral lists this ribosomal RNA (499 nucleotides) under uncultured bacterium. RNAcentral's name for it is "bacterial SSU rRNA". It matches the Rfam family "Bacterial small subunit ribosomal RNA", at positions 899 to 1397 of the family's 1533-position model. The record is from RNAcentral.
ACUCAAAGGAAUAGACGGGGGCCCGCACAAGCAGCGGAGCAUGUCGUUUAAUUCGAAGCAACGCGAAGAACCUUACCAGGGCUUGACAUCCUCUGAAUUCCGCGGAAACGCGGGAGUGCCGCAAGGAACAGAGAGACAGGUGGUGCAUGGUUGUCGUCAGCUCGUGUCGUGAGAUGUUGGGUUAAGUCCCGCAACGAGCGCAACCCUUAUGAUCAGUUACCAGCGGGUAAAGCCGGGGACUCUGGUCAGACUGCCGGGGAUAACUCGGAGGAAGGUGGGGACGAUGUCAAAUCAUCAUGCUCCUUAUGUCCUGGGCUACACACGUGCUACAAUGGCCGCCACAAAGGGAUGCGAGGUCGUAAGGCCAAGCGAAACCGAAAAAAGCGGUCUCAGUUCGGAUUGAGGGCUGCAACCCGCCCUCAUGAAGUCGGAGUUGCUAGUAAUCGCGAAUCAGCAUGUCGCGGUGAAUACGUUCCCGGGCCUUGUACACACCGCCCGU